GAUGAACGCUGGCGGCGUGCCUAAUACAUGCAAGUCGAGCGAACGGACGAGAAGCUUGCUUCUCUGAUGUUAGCGGCGGACGGGAGAGUAACACGUGGAUAAACUACCUAUAAGACUGGGAUAACUUCGGGGAACCGGAGCUAAUACCGGAUAAUAUUUUGAACCGCAUGGUUCAAAAGUGAAAGUCGGUCUUGCUGUCACUUAUAGAUGGAUCCGCGCUGGAUUAGCUAGUUGGUAAGGUAACGGCUUACCAAGGCAACGAUGCAUAGCCGACCUGAGAGGGUGAUCGGCCAGACUGGAACUGAGACACGGUCCAGACUCCUACGGUGGGCAGCAGUAGGGAAUCUUCCGCGAUGGGCGAAAGCCGGACGGAGCAACGCCGCGUGAGUGAUGAAGGUCUUCGGAUCGUAAAACUCUGUUAUUAGGGAAGAACAUAUGUGUAAGUAACUGUGCACAUCUUGACGGUACCUAAUCAGAAAGCCACGGCUAACUACGUG
RNAcentral lists this ribosomal RNA (497 nucleotides) under uncultured bacterium. RNAcentral's name for it is "partial 16S ribosomal RNA". It matches the Rfam family "Bacterial small subunit ribosomal RNA", at positions 28 to 507 of the family's 1533-position model. The record is from RNAcentral.